CGGGACUGAGAGGUUGACCCGGCGCAUUGGGACUGAGACACUGCCCAGACUCCUACGGGAGGCUGCAGUAACGAAUAUUGGACAAUGGGCGCAAGCCUGAUCCAGCGACGCCGCGUGUAGGAUGAAGUCCUUCGGGAUGUAAACUACUGUCAGGGACCACCACGCAAUACGGGUUAAUACCUCGUAACGCUGAGGAAUCCCAGAGGAAGUCACGGCUAACUUCGUGCCAGCAGCCGCGGUAAGACGAAGGUGGCAAGCGUUGUUCGGAAUCACUGGGCUUAAAGAGCAUGUAGGCGGAUGAUCAAGCGUCUUGUGAAAGCCCUCGGCUCAACCGGGGAAUUGCUUGGCGAACUGGUCAUCUUGAGGCAGGUAGGGGCAAGUGGAACUCUUGGUGGAGCGGUGGAAUGCGUAGAUAUCAAGAGGAACGCCAGAGGCGAAGGCGACUUGCUGGGCCUGUCCUGACGCUGAGAUGCGAAAGCCAGGGGAGCGAACGGGAUUAGAUACCCCGGUAGUCCUGGCCCUAAACGAUGUCCACUAGAUCGGAGAUUCUCUGACGGAUUUCUGGUCGAAAUGAAAACGUUAAGUGGACCGCCUGGGGAGUACGGUCGCAAGGCUAAAACUCAAAGGAAUUGACGGGGGCUCACACAAGCGGUGGAGCAUGUUGCUUAAUUCGAUGCAACGCGAAGAACCUUAUCCUGGACUUGACAUGUUCGGAUGCCUCCCUGGAAACAGGGUUCGGCUGCCCUUCGGGGUGAAACGAUCACAGGUGCUGCAUGGCUGUCGUCAGCUCGUGUCGUGAGAUGUUGGGUUAAGUCCCGUAACGAGCGAAACCCUUGUCGCUAGUUGCCAGCGCGUAAUGGCGGGGACUCUAGCGAGACUGCCGGUGUCAAACCGGAGGAAGGUGGGGAUGACGUCAAGUCCUCAUGGCCUUUAUGUCCAGGGCUGCAAACGUGCUACAAUGGCCGGUACAAAUCGACGCAAGACCGCGAGGCGGAGCAAAUCGCAAAAAGCCGGCCCCAGUUCGGAUUGGAGUCUGCAACUCGACUCCAUGAAGUCGGAAUCGCUAGUAAUCGCGUAUCAGCGUGACGCGGUGAAUGUGUUCCUGAGCCUUGUACACACCGCCCGUCAAGUCAUGGAAGCCGGGAGCACCCGAAGUCG
RNAcentral lists this ribosomal RNA (1158 nucleotides) under uncultured organism. RNAcentral's name for it is "bacterial SSU rRNA". It matches the Rfam family "Bacterial small subunit ribosomal RNA", at positions 287 to 1429 of the family's 1533-position model. The record is from RNAcentral.